AGCGAACGCUGGCGGCAGGCCUAACACAUGCAAGUCGAACGAACUCUUCGGAGUUAGUGGCGGACGGGUGAGUAACACGUGGGAACGUUCCUUUUGGUUCGGAAUAACUCAGGGAAACUUGUGCUAAUACCGAAUGUGCCCUUCGGGGGAAAGAUUUAUCGCCAUUAGAGCUGCCCGCGUCUGAUUAGCUAGUUGGUGAGGUAACGGCUCACCAAGGCGACGAUCAGUAGCUGGUCUGAGAGGAUGACCAGCCACACUGGGACUGAGACACGGCCCAGACUCCUACGGGAGGCAGCAGUGGGGAAUCUUGCGCAAUGGGCGAAAGCAUGACGCAGCCAUGCCGCGUGAAUGAUGAAGGUCUUAGGAUUGUAAAAUUCUUUCACCGGGGACGAUAAUGACGGUACCCGGAGAAGAAGCCCCGGCUAACUUCGUG
Molecule: ribosomal RNA, 433 nt
Filed under: uncultured bacterium
Lineage: Bacteria
Description: partial 16S ribosomal RNA
Rfam family: Bacterial small subunit ribosomal RNA
Source: RNAcentral